AGUGAACGCUGGCGGUAGGCCUAACACAUGCAAGUCGAACGGCAGCACAGUAAGAGCUUGCUCUUACGGGUGGCGAGUGGCGGACGCGUGAGGAAUACAUCGGAAUCUACUUUUUCGUGGGGGAUAACGUAGGGAAACUUACGCUAAUACCGCAUACGACCUACGGGUGAAAGCAGGGGAUCUUCGGACCUUGCGCGAUUGAAUGAGCCGAUGUCGGAUUAGCUAGUUGGCGGGGUAAAGGCCCACCAAGGCGACGAUCCGUAGCUGGUCUGAGAGGAUGAUCAGCCACACUGGAACUGAGACACGGUCCAGGCUCCUACGGGAGGCAGCAGUGGGGAAUAUUGGACAAUGGGCGCAAGCCUGAUCCAGCCAUACCGCGUGGGUGAAGAAGGCCUUCGGGUUGUAAAGCCCUUUUGUUGGGAAAGAAAAGCAGCAGGUUAAUACCCCGCUGUUCUGACGGUACCCAAAGAAUAAGCACCGGCUAACUUCGUG
RNAcentral lists this ribosomal RNA (492 nucleotides) under uncultured bacterium. RNAcentral describes it as "partial 16S ribosomal RNA". It matches the Rfam family "Bacterial small subunit ribosomal RNA", at positions 29 to 507 of the family's 1533-position model. The record is from RNAcentral.